This is a ribosomal RNA of Erinaceus europaeus (western European hedgehog), 109 nucleotides long. The record is from Ensembl. Lineage: Eukaryota; Metazoa; Chordata; Mammalia; Eulipotyphla; Erinaceidae.
UCUAACGGCCAUACCACCUUGAACACGCCUGAUCUUGUCUGAUCUUGGAAGCUAACCAGGGUUGGGCCUAGUUAGUACUUGGAUGGGAAAAGCUUUGGACCUGUUGCCA